This 464-nucleotide ribosomal RNA is filed under the name uncultured Klebsiella sp. RNAcentral's name for it is "bacterial SSU rRNA". It matches the Rfam family "Bacterial small subunit ribosomal RNA", at positions 338 to 795 of the family's 1533-position model. The record is from RNAcentral. Lineage: Bacteria; Pseudomonadati; Pseudomonadota; Gammaproteobacteria; Enterobacterales; Enterobacteriaceae.
CCUACGGGUGGCUGCAGUGGGGAAUAUUGCACAAUGGGCGCAAGCCUGAUGCAGCCAUGCCGCGUGUGUGAAGAAGGCCUUCGGGUUGUAAAGCACUUUCAGCGGGGAGGAAGGCGUUAAGGUUAAUAACCUUGUCGAUUGACGUUACCCGCAGAAGAAGCACCGGCUAACUCCGUGCCAGCAGCCGCGGUAAUACGGAGGGUGCAAGCGUUAAUCGGAAUUACUGGGCGUAAAGCGCACGCAGGCGGUCUGUCAAGUCGGAUGUGAAAUCCCCGGGCUCAACCUGGGAACUGCAUUCGAAACUGGCAGGCUAGAGUCUUGUAGAGGGGGGUAGAAUUGCAGGUGUAGCGGUGAAAUGCGUAGAGAUCUGGAGGAAUACCGGUGGCGAAGGCGGCCCCCUGGACAAAGACUGACGCUCAGGUGCGAAAGCGUGGGGAGCAAACAGGAUAGAUACCCUGGUAGUC